CCUCUUUGAUCGAAAACCCGAGUCGUGGCAUCGUCAUACGUAAUGAUCUUGUGGCCCAUAUGUCUAUUGUCUAUCUCGAUGUGGCACAUGUUUCCAAGUUACUUGAGUACUCAAACAUAAUACUUGCUCACCUGAUGUUAGUAGAUCUUGAAUCAAAAGAGUUGUUCGUGGGUCAAAGAUUCACGAGCAAAGACGAGUGUGCCGGUGCCAUCAAGCGC
RNAcentral lists this long non-coding RNA (218 nucleotides) under Gossypium barbadense (sea-island cotton). Its description in RNAcentral is "long non-coding RNA (GBAR_LNC020697)". The record is from RNAcentral. Lineage: Eukaryota; Viridiplantae; Streptophyta; Magnoliopsida; Malvales; Malvaceae.